UAGUGUAACAGAACCAACCCUUAGCUGCUCUAGAAGAGUCUAGGGUCAAUCUACUCAGAUUAAGUCCUUAAAGGAAGGAACUGAAAGAGGUAGAGAUGAGUCACUGAGGACUAAGUGAUUCUUGAUAGAUUAUGAAGACUUAGAAGUCCUACAGAUUGGGACAAAGUCAAAUAUUGUUCCCAUUGUCAAAGAAAGUGGAAUCUGCAAAGGCAACUGGGCUUGACUUUAUUGGCAAAAUACUGGAAUAUUAUCAACAAAUCAAUGGAUGGUGAAAGAAUAUCUAGAGGGGGCAGUUAAGAUGGCUCACUGGAUUGAGAACUGGACCUAGAAAUGGAAGGUCCCAAAUUAAGCCUCAAACAUUUCCUACCUGUGAGAUCUUAGGCAAGUCAUUUAAUUCCAGUUGGCUAGUCCUUACUGCUUCUUUGCCUUUGGCACCAAUAGACAAUUCUAAGACAGAAGAAUUCCAUAACCCUGUGGCACCAAGACCUUCACAGACAGACCUAAGUUAAUCAAUUCCACCUCUGAAACAAAGUUUUUCUGGCUGAAUACUGAGGUGGUGGGACAGGAGCCACUACCAUUCUUCAUGUCCCACUGGUUUCGAAAAACAACCAUGGAUUGAGAACUGGAAGAAUCCCUGAAGACUACCUACCUUAGUACAAUCUCCCCAUUGUACAAAUAAGGCCAUUGUAUCCCAAAGAGGUUAAGUGAUUUGCCAGUUCACAAAGGCAGCAAGUAGUAAAGACUAAACAUGAA
Long non-coding RNA from Monodelphis domestica (gray short-tailed opossum), 753 nucleotides. RefSeq lists it as uncharacterized. The record is from RefSeq and is a predicted model, not a curated record. Lineage: Eukaryota; Metazoa; Chordata; Mammalia; Didelphimorphia; Didelphidae.